AUGCUGCAGCGAGGCGGCUAUUUUGGACCACGUGGGCGUCUGAAUUCCAGGCGAAAUCCUGCUCAGAAAAGCGCCCGUCAGGGUCCCCGUGGCUGGGAAUGCUGCGCUCUGUGUGUCCCCACGGCUCCUGCACGGCACCGCAGCCUCACGCAGCCCCAUCCCCAACCCCUGGCUCUCCUCACCGUCCCAUCUCCCUCCACGUUGCUGGCUCCAUCCACCCUCCCGUGGGCAGACAGAGCCACCGGCCCACACCCCACGCUGCCCCAUGGCAGCCCCACACCGCUCACAGUGGGGCACACAGCUGCGGGUGGGAGCGGGCAGGGCCAGGCGCUUCCUGCCCCUCUCCUGGCCGCCGCGGAGCGUGUUUGCUUUGAGGCCCGUGUCCUCCUGCCAGGACAUUCCGGGCAGCUCGGCUGCAGCUCGCAGGGAGCCGUGGGACGGCCCCGACCACAGCUGCCCCGCUCCCAGCUCUGUGUGGGGCAGAGCCCCCCCCCCGGCCCCACACAUCCCCAGAGCCGGGGCGACUGCCCGCCAUGUGGGAGACAGCUGGGGUUAAAAAUUAACGCGGCGCUGCCUCAAUUAAUGCAGCACGGCCGGCCCUGGGCUACGUGCUGCAGCAGGAAAGCAGCGCUGGCUGCGGGGCCCUGUUGCCUGGCAGUUCCCAUUGCACCAUCCCAAUGGCCAUUAAUGGCCGCAGAGCCCAGGCCCCACCUCGGGGACACUCAUGGCUGGGCGCUGACCCCGCUGUGCUCUUGGCACUGUGUCUCUGCAGCCCUGUCCCCAUUCACUGAUUCCAGAUCACCGUGUGGAGCUGCUGAGCAGCCCCCAGCUCUGUCACCCCCUUGGUCUGUGGCAUCCAGGCUCAGGGUUUGCAGGUCGGAUUUGUUCUGGAACGUGCUUGUGUGCUGGGAGCCACAGGGACGCAUCCUCUCACACAGCCCCACAUCCCCACUGCUGUCCCAUGUCCCAUCAGCCCCACAUCCCACUGACACCCCCACCUGCAGGGCCGUGUCCUGCCCGCUGCUUCCCCGCUGCUAUGCCAGCAAUGCUGCAGCAGCACGGCCGGCCUCCGCCUGGAGCCCAGAGCAGCUCCUGGCUUUGCUCAGCAGCCGGAGAGAGGAGACAGCACAGGGCCCCGCCGCGGGAGACACGUGCCCGGGUGGCGGGGAUGGUUUUGGCACCGCUCCUGGCACACGGGGCUGGAGCAGCGCUGCCGCCUGCACGGCUGCUCUGUGCCCUCGUCCUCCAGCCCUGCCCUUCUCACUCCCCACCCCCGACUCCUCACCUUCCUUCCCAUCCCCUGUGCCCUCUGUCCCUCCCCACCAGCUUCCUGCACUCAAGUGCCCUCCAUCAUCAUCUCCAUCCCAUCCCCAUCUUCAUCCUCAUCCCCACCCCUAUCCCCAUCCCAUCCCCCGUGUAAGUGCCUCUUUGGCUCCAUGCCUCAGUUUCCCCUCUUUUUGCUGCAGUCCCUGCAGGCUGCACCUUCCCUCAGCCCAGCUCACUGCAAAUGACCUCAGCCCUCAGCUCAGCUUCAUCCCAGCAGAUGCACUUUGCAGUGUGCACAAAGCCCAUGUGCAGUGCAGGACGUGGGGGGUUGUGGCCGUGGUGCCCCACUGUUAUGGCACUGAGGGCCUCCAUGUUACUGCUCACCAGCAGGACCUGUCCCCCCCCACCCCACCAGUGCCAUCACAACCCCAGUGUGAGAACUGGUGCACGGGAGGGUCCGGCUGA
Long non-coding RNA from Coturnix japonica (Japanese quail), 1731 nucleotides. Lineage: Eukaryota; Metazoa; Chordata; Aves; Galliformes; Phasianidae. The record is from Ensembl.